GGUAGAAUGGUCGAAUUAGGCGUAGGGUUGUAGCCCCUUUUAUAAAGGUUAAAGUCCUUUUUUUAUCA
Molecule: transfer RNA, 68 nt
Filed under: Pachyhynobius shangchengensis (Shangcheng stout salamander)
Lineage: Eukaryota; Metazoa; Chordata; Amphibia; Caudata; Hynobiidae
Description: tRNA-Tyr
Rfam family: tRNA
About the family: Transfer RNA (tRNA) molecules are approximately 80 nucleotides in length. Their secondary structure includes four short double-helical elements and three loops (D, anti-codon, and T loops).
Source: RNAcentral